UGUCAAAGUAUUCUGAUGUAUGGGUAGCAUUAGGCAAAAUGUUCUUCAUUUCAUAGCCCUUAUUUGGUUGUACCUGACUUGUGCCAAGGCAUGUGUUCAUUUAAGAUGCAUGUGAGGGCAGUAGUGCUUCAGUGAUGGUCUUUUCAUGUUAUGUGUAUUUUGCAAUUUAUUAAUUUUAAUUUCCCUCUGUUCCCUGUUUGCAGGCAGUGAGUUGUGAGGACUGCUUCCCUGAGAACACUGAGUGCAUUCUGGAAUAUUCCAAAUGUGUGCCACUUCCAUACAAAAGAAGUUCCAAUCCCGCAAGAGAGUUCACUCACCAGUGGGCUUCAUCAACAGACCAGGGCAAAGUCGGUCUGUCCCGCUACUACAACAUGCUACUUGACUAUGUCUGGAAGCCAUGGCUGCUGUCCUCAACAUGCUAAACUGACCCUCACAAAUAAAGUCACAAAUCAAGAAUUAACAUUGAUGGUGAUGGUGGCAAGGGUGCCUUCAUAAGGUGCCAUCCAGCAAGUCCCAGCCUGGAGCCAGAGGCUGGCACUGCACGUCAGAUGGGGGAGGAUCUAUGUUAGGCAUCAGAAAGGUGGUUUAAGCAAGAAGGAAAGAGCUUCUGCAGACAGUGUUGCAAUUAGACACCUGACUUUUACUGAGUCCCUUUUCUGGUUUGUUUUGGAUGAACUAGAGUGGUGGGCACAGAAAUUUUGUCGAUGGUUCAAACAUUCACACACUCACACUCACUCACACAACCACACUUGUGGAUUUGUCAAGCAACAAAUCUUUGUAUAUAAUCUGUUGCUCAUUGAAUAUGCUUAAUAAAUGUCUUCUUGACUUGUACAUCAUGUUUGCGUAUAUAUUUUUGUAUUACAAACCAGUUUGGUUAAAACAAUGCAUAGCAAAG
This is a long non-coding RNA of Alosa alosa (allis shad), 895 nucleotides long. RefSeq lists it as uncharacterized. The transcript has 5 exons. The record is from RefSeq and is a predicted model, not a curated record. NCBI's taxonomy places the organism in Eukaryota, Metazoa, Chordata, Actinopteri, Clupeiformes, Clupeidae.